Lathyrus oleraceus (garden pea) is the source of this 672-nucleotide long non-coding RNA. RefSeq lists it as uncharacterized. The record is from RefSeq and is a predicted model, not a curated record. NCBI's taxonomy places the organism in Eukaryota, Viridiplantae, Streptophyta, Magnoliopsida, Fabales, Fabaceae. The transcript is spliced from 2 exons.
UUGGAGCUUCAGCUUUCAUCUUCGCCUCCUCUCAUCAUCAAUCGCGGAAGAAAAAUCUCCUCACGUUGCAUCACAAUGUCCACGCGAUUCAAUGUUCUAAACGCUUCAGGAAAACACAACUGCGAUGCCGGGGCAAGCUCGAUUAUUCUUCAUCAGACGCGAAAUUGAGGAUGGAAAAAUGAAGAACACGACUUCGAAUUGCAAUCCUUCUCUGAAAUCAACAUCAGUAUCCAAGCAUGAGUCAUCAUUUGCAUGCCUAAAACUAGAGAACACGAAAUUGAAAUUGAAGCGAGAAUCUCACCGGAUGGAAGCUUCGAUGAGAAUAAGAUGGGUUAUGUGAUUGGAUGGAGGGAGGCAUGACCAAAUGGAAAUGUAUAAAGCAUAGGAGAUCAAUGACGGGCUUCCGAAAUCCCAAGCUUCUUUCCCUUUUGAUACGAGCUAUAUAAUAGCACGGGAUGGUGCUAACAUGAUGUAAUAAUAUUAGGACAUGGAUUAGCUUAUCUUCUUAUGCUUGUAAUGGAAAAAAAAUCACUUAUAAUCAUUUAUGUCAAAAAAUGCUUAUGUAAUGUAAUUUAAAUUGUGAUUCUUUUGAAAGUGUUGUCGUCCGAGGGGAAUGCCUCGUAAGCUUCAAUGUUUCAAAGGGAUCUAUGGCUCUAAGAACCUUUUAGAACA